GACUUAAAAUCCGUCGACUUAAAAAAUCGUGAGGGUUCAAGUCCCUCUAUCCCCA
Molecule: transfer RNA, 55 nt
Filed under: Grevea sp. Thulin et al. s.n.
Lineage: Eukaryota; Viridiplantae; Streptophyta; Magnoliopsida; Solanales; Montiniaceae
Description: partial transfer RNA-Leu
Source: RNAcentral